Molecule: non-coding RNA, 618 nt
Organism: Paramuricea clavata
Lineage: Eukaryota; Metazoa; Cnidaria; Anthozoa; Malacalcyonacea; Plexauridae
Source: the annotation of a GenBank genome assembly
UUUAGGAAGUGAUAAAAAAAUUUAUUUUAAAUAAAACUAAUAAUUUAUAAUAAUUAUAUGAGUAAGUAUGCGGAAUUACCGUUCCCAAUUGACACAUUAGUUUAUAAUUUGGUGCGAGGUUACAAGAAUUUGAGCGUGGUAACUAUAGCAGGUCACUUCGGUUGCCAGGCCAUGAAGGAGGAUGAGCCAAUAUCAUUCAGGUAUGGAAGCGGGUAGUGAAUAUCAUUACUGUACUAUACAUAGACAACUAUACUGCAUAUAAGCUAUUCUGCAAUUUGAUAAUUCAGCCACAAUUAUUCCACUUCCAUCCUCGAAAUACCAUUCUAGACAAAAGCUUUACCCUCAAUUUUUUUCUAGCCUGUCACAAGAACGAUAUCGAUCGGUAUAUCCUAGCACGAUCAUCGCUCGGGUUGUAUCAAAUCUUAUUACGAUAUACAAGGCCAUGAAAAAGUAACCCAACUUUAGCGUGCUAUUGUGCGUUCAAUAUUGCAUGACUGUAUAGAUUUAUUUUUUCAUAAUAACGAUCACUAGGAAAAAAAUAGUGAACUACAUACUAUGGAAUUUGCAAUUGCAUCACUAAAUUCAUAGUAUAUUCACAGUAUGGAAAUUGCAAUUAGC